RNAcentral lists this ribosomal RNA (497 nucleotides) under uncultured bacterium. Its description in RNAcentral is "partial 16S ribosomal RNA". It matches the Rfam family "Bacterial small subunit ribosomal RNA", at positions 28 to 507 of the family's 1533-position model. The record is from RNAcentral.
GAUGAACGCUGGCGGCGUGCCUAAUACAUGCAAGUCGAGCGAACAGACGAGGAGCUUGCUCCUCUGACGUUAGCGGCGGACGGGUGAGUAACACGUGGAUAACCUACCUAUAAGACUGGGAUAACUUCGGGAAACCGGAGCUAAUACCGGAUAAUAUAUUGAACCGCAUGGUUCAAUAGUGAAAGACGGUUUUGCUGUCACUUAUAGAUGGAUCCGCGCCGCAUUAGCUAGUUGGUAAGGUAACGGCUUACCAAGGCAACGAUGCGUAGCCGACCUGAGAGGGUGAUCGGCCACACUGGAACUGAGACACGGUCCAGACUCCUACGGGAGGCAGCAGUAGGGAAUCUUCCGCAAUGGGCGAAAGCCUGAGGGAGCAACGCCGCGUGAGUGAUGAAGGUCUUCGGAUCGUAAAACUCUGUUAUUAGGGAAGAACAAAUGUGUAAGUAACUAUGCACGUCUUGACGGUACCUAAUCAGAAAGCCACGGCUAACUACGUG